GUCGGGUAGCUCAGUUGGUAGAGCAGGGACUGAAU
Molecule: transfer RNA, 35 nt
Filed under: Philodendron fragrantissimum
Lineage: Eukaryota; Viridiplantae; Streptophyta; Magnoliopsida; Alismatales; Araceae
Description: partial tRNA-Phe
Source: RNAcentral